RNAcentral lists this ribosomal RNA (474 nucleotides) under uncultured bacterium. RNAcentral describes it as "SSU rRNA". It matches the Rfam family "Bacterial small subunit ribosomal RNA", at positions 26 to 518 of the family's 1533-position model. The record is from RNAcentral.
AGGACGAACGCUGGCGGCGUGCUUAACACAUGCAAGUCGAGCGGAAAGGCCCUUCGGGGUACUCGAGCGGCGAACGGGUGAGUAACACGUGAGUAACCUGCCCCUAGCUCUGGGAUAGCUCCGGGAAACCGGGAUUAAUACCAGAUACGACCACUUUAGACAUCUGUCGUGGUGGAAAGGAUUCCGGCUAGGGAUGGGCUCGCGGCCUAUCAGCUUGUUGGUGGGGUAACGGCCUACCAAGGCGACGACGGGUAGCCGGCCUGAGAGGGCGACCGGCCACACUGGGACUGAGACACGGCCCAGACUCCUACGGGAGGCAGCAGUGGGGAAUAUUGCGCAAUGGGCGAAAGCCUGACGCAGCGACGCCGCGUGGGGGAUGAAGGCCUUCGGGUUGUAAACCCCUUUCAGCAGGGACGAAGCGAAAGUGACGGUACCUGCAGAAGAAGCGCCGGCUAACUACGCGCCAGCAGCCGC